AGUGAACGCUGGCGGCAGGCCUAACACAUGCAAGUCGAACGGCAGCACAGGGGAGCUUGCUCCCUGGGUGGCGAGUGGCGGACGGGUGAGGAAUACAUCGGAAUCUACCCUGUCGUGGGGGAUAACGUAGGGAAACUUACGCUAAUACCGCAUACGACCUCCGGGUGAAAGCAGGGGAUCGCAAGACCUUGCGCGAUUGGAUGAGCCGAUGUCCGAUUAGCUAGUUGGCGGGGUAAAGGCCCACCAAGGCGACGAUCGGUAGCUGGUCUGAGAGGAUGAUCAGCAACACUGGAACUGAGACACGGUCCAGACUCCUACGGGAGGCAGCAGUGGGGAAUAUUGGACAAUGGGCGAAAGCCUGAUCCAGCCAUGCCGCGUGGGUGAAGAAGGCCUUCGGGUUGUAAAGCCCUUUUGUUGGGAAAGAAAACUUUCCGGUUAAUACCCGGAGAGAAUGACGGUACCCAAAGAAUAAGCACCGGCUAACUUCGUG
Molecule: ribosomal RNA, 490 nt
Filed under: uncultured bacterium
Lineage: Bacteria
Description: partial 16S ribosomal RNA
Rfam family: Bacterial small subunit ribosomal RNA
Source: RNAcentral